Non-coding RNA from Oryza nivara, 208 nucleotides. The record is from Rfam. NCBI's taxonomy places the organism in Eukaryota, Viridiplantae, Streptophyta, Magnoliopsida, Poales, Poaceae.
AAUAAGUGCAGUUUUGCACUAUUCACGUUCAACGUUUGACCGUCCGUCUUAUUUGAAAAUUUUUUAUGAUUAGUAUUUUUAUUGCUAUUAGAUGAUAAAACAUGAAUAGUACUUUAUGUGUGACUAAAUGUUUUUAAUUUUUUACAAAUUUUUCAAAUAAGACGGACGGUCAAACGUUGAACGUGAAUAGUGCAAAACUGCACUUAUU